AGCGAACGUUGGCGGCGCGCCUAACACAUGCAAGUCGAACGCGAAAGAUCUUCGGAUUAAGUAGAGUGGCGCACGGGUGAGUAUCGCGUGAGUAACCUGCCUUCUGGUUUGGGACAACAUUUCGAAAGGAGUGCUAAUACCGAAUAAGACCACGACCUCAAUCGAGGAUGUGAGAAAAGAUGGGGAUCCGAAAGGACCUGUCACCAGUAGAUGGGCUCGCGUUCUAUCAGCUUGUUGGUGAGGUAAUGGCUCACCAAGGCGAAGACGGAUAUCUGGUUUGAGAGGAUGAUCAGACACACUGGAACUGAGACACGGUCCAG
RNAcentral lists this ribosomal RNA (320 nucleotides) under uncultured bacterium. RNAcentral describes it as "bacterial SSU rRNA". It matches the Rfam family "Bacterial small subunit ribosomal RNA", at positions 29 to 334 of the family's 1533-position model. The record is from RNAcentral.